This 808-nucleotide long non-coding RNA is filed under the name Bos taurus (domestic cattle). Its description in RNAcentral is "long non-coding RNA NONBTAT025421". The record is from RNAcentral. Lineage: Eukaryota; Metazoa; Chordata; Mammalia; Artiodactyla; Bovidae.
CAAAUUUGAUUCUUGCUGCUUCUGUUCAGUUUAUCUCCAAGGUAAAUCACAGCAUAACUUUUGCAUGUAAGGGAAAAUUCUUAUUACAGUAGUGAAAGUGCCUGAGUAGAGAAGGGCUGAGGCACAGCCAGCCAAUAGCACCCCAGGUUUAUAUUCCAUUUGAUGUUUUAAGAAAGGACUAACAUAACAGUUGAAAACGAACAGGAGCCGUUUCAAACAUGACUUUACCAAGUCAUUUCUCAUGAGAAAGUAAUUCUGUUUCUUGGAAGUCCCUAAAAUAGUUUGCAGAUUUACAGAUAUAUGGCUAGAUUAAGUGUUGUGGUGUAGUUCUAUUAUAGUGGCUUUCUUAUCUAUCAGACAAGGAUUCAAAUUACCGUGGAUAUUGUUAGCAUUGUCUGGUUUCGUGUAUACUAAAUCGAAGUUUAAAGAAUUCAUGUUCAUGGAAUUUUCGUAUUUUAAAAAUGUUUGCUGUAUUCAAAAUGAAGAUAGCUUUUAAAUAUAUCCUAGCAUAAUUUAGUCUUUGCUGAACUCAAAUUUAGGUUUAAUGAGAUCUUUAAGAAAUUUGCAUGAAUUUACCCUCCAUUCCCAUUGCCCUUCAGAAUCUCUGUACAGUACUUGAAUUCAUAAUCUGUCUGUGGCCAGCUUCUGUUUUCAAAAUAAAUAGCUCUCAAAGUUGAAUGUUUUCUAAGAAUGAGAAUAUAAGCUUUUAAAGGCACUUGAACAAAAUUUAAACAAAAAAUAUUUGUUAGAUUUUUUUGUUUGAAGUAUUUUAGGUCUUUGUCUUUUAAUAAGGUUUUUUUGUUAUAUG